AACGCGUGGGGAUCUACCAUAGGGUGCGGAAUAACUCAGAGAAAUUUGAGCUAAUACCGCAUAAUGUCUUCGGACCAAAGAUUUAUCGCCCUUUGAUGAACCCGCGUAAGAUUAGCUUGUUGGUGAGGUAAAGGCUCACCAAGGCGACGAUCUUUAGCUGGUCUGAGAGGAUGAUCAGCCACACUGGGACUGAGACACGGCCCAGACUCCUACGGGAGGCAGCAAUGGGGAAUAUUGGACAAUGGGCGAAAGCCUGAUCCAGCAAUGCCGCGUGAGUGAUGAAGGCCUUAGUGUUGUAAAGCUCUUUUACCAGGGAUGAUAAUGACAGUACCUGGAGAAUAAGCCCCGGCUAACUCCGUGCCAGCAGCCGCGGUAAUACGGAGGGAGCUAGCGUUGUUCGGAAUUACUGGGCGUAAAGCGCGCGUAGGCGGUUACUCAAGUCAGAGGUGAAAGCCCGGAGCUCAACUCCGGAACUGCCUUUGGAACUAGGUGACUAGAAUCUUGGAGAGGCGAGUGGAAUUCCGAGUGUAGAGGUGAAAUUCGUAGAUAUUCGGAAGAACACCAGUG
RNAcentral lists this ribosomal RNA (567 nucleotides) under uncultured bacterium. RNAcentral's name for it is "bacterial SSU rRNA". It matches the Rfam family "Bacterial small subunit ribosomal RNA", at positions 112 to 714 of the family's 1533-position model. The record is from RNAcentral.